Molecule: ribosomal RNA, 432 nt
Filed under: uncultured bacterium
Lineage: Bacteria
Description: partial 16S ribosomal RNA
Rfam family: Bacterial small subunit ribosomal RNA
Source: RNAcentral
ACGAACGCUGGCGGCAUGCCUAACACAUGCAAGUCGAACGAGACCUUCGGGUCUAGUGGCGCACGGGUGCGUAACGCGUGGGAACCUGCCCUUAGGUUCGGAAUAACUCCCCGAAAGGGGUGCUAAUACCGGAUAAUGUCUUCGGACCAAAGAUUUAUCGCCUUUGGAUGGGCCCGCGUUGGAUUAGCUAGUUGGUAGGGUAAAAGCCUACCAAGGCGACGAUCCAUAGCUGGUCUGAGAGGAUGAUCAGCCACACUGGGACUGAGACACGGCCCAGACUCCUACGGGAGGCAGCAGUGGGGAAUAUUGGACAAUGGGCGAAAGCGUGAUCCAGCAAUGCCGCGUGAGUGAUGAAGGCCUUAGGGUUGUAAAGCUCUUUUACCCGGGAUGAUAAUGACAGUACCGGGAGAAUAAGCGCCGGCUAACUACGUG